RNAcentral lists this ribosomal RNA (176 nucleotides) under Romanogobio albipinnatus (white-finned gudgeon). RNAcentral describes it as "partial small subunit ribosomal RNA". Lineage: Eukaryota; Metazoa; Chordata; Actinopteri; Cypriniformes; Gobionidae. RNAcentral also lists the same sequence under 2 other names. The record is from RNAcentral.
CACCGCGGUUAAACGAGAGGCCCCAGUUGAUUUUACCACGGCGUAAAGGGUGGUUAAGGAAAACAAAUAAUAAAGCCAAAUGGCCCUUUGGCCGUCAUACGCUUCUAGGUGUCCGAAGCCCAACCAUACGAAAGUAGCUUUAACAAAAUUUGCCUGACCCCACGAAAGCUAAGAAA